GAUGAAGAACGUAGCGAAAUGCGAUAAGUAAUGUGAAUUGCAGAAUUCAGUGAAUCAUCGAAUCUUUGAACGCACCUUGCGCUCCUUGGCAUUCCGAGGAGCAUGCCUGUUUGAGUGUCAUUAAAUUCUCAAGACCUGUCUGCUUUUUUGAUAGGUAUUGGAUUUUGGGGGUUGCAGGCUGUUUCAAAUAAAUAGCCUUGCUCUCCUUGAAUGUAUUAGUGGAGAAAAGCCAUUGAACUCCAUUGGCGUGAUAAAACCUAUCAAUGCCAGGAGCAAUAUCACUACUUCUCUCUGCUGUCUAACUGUGACUGUCUGUAUUAAUUAGUAUGGAUGGGGACAACUUGACCAACUUGACCUCAAAUCAGGUAGGACUACCCGCUGAACUUAAGCAUAUCAAUAAGCGGAGGA
RNAcentral lists this unclassified non-coding RNA (408 nucleotides) under soil metagenome. RNAcentral's name for it is "partial contains 5.8S ribosomal RNA, internal transcribed spacer 2, and large subunit ribosomal RNA". The stretch from base 1 to 120 matches the Rfam family "5.8S ribosomal RNA", at positions 35 to 154 of the family's 154-position model. The record is from RNAcentral.